Molecule: long non-coding RNA, 670 nt
Organism: Neopsephotus bourkii (Bourke's parrot)
Lineage: Eukaryota; Metazoa; Chordata; Aves; Psittaciformes; Psittacidae
Exons: 3
Source: RefSeq, a predicted model, not a curated record
CAGCAGUAUUCCUUGUGCUUUCCCUGGUCUUCUGCACGUCUCUGCAGUUCCCAGCUGGGAUCUAGAGCUGGUGCUGCACUUCCCUCCAGCGAGACCCCCAUUGGAACCAGUGCUGCUUGGAGAGAUGCCAUGUCUGGAGAUGGGAGGACUCGGGAAGCCGUGCUCCAGACACUCCAAUUCCUCCAGUGCUCCAGGAGCAGCCAGCCGUGCCUGGGGAAUGUCUGUGUGUGCAGGAGCUUCACAGCCUUGUUUGGGAAGCUGCUUCCCAGGCACAGAGCCCAGGCUUUGUGAGAGUGCAUCACAUACCCUACAGAGGCAAUGGUGGCAUCUCCAAAAUGAGGGCCUAACUUUGCUAUCAAGCUUUGGUGCAAGUUCUGAGGAGGCUUUGGCAUCACCGAGUCUUCCAAGAGCCAGUCAAGUUUUCAGGGCAAUACAUAAAGUACCUGUUCAUCCUGAUACCAGAAUGUUCCCAGCAGCUAAGUAGGUUUUGUUGGAUGCAUAAUGCUGGGUUUGGGUUGCACUCUGGCUGAAUGCAGCUUUUGUGGCUAAGGAUCAAUCUGCUAAUUAGGAAAUACAAUGCUAGGAUCUUUCUGCAGUCUCAUUGUAAGGAGAUGUAAUUUGUAAUGGCCACGUUCAUCUUACAGUCACCAUAAGUAAAUAAUAUGUUCUG